UAUGUGAUCGUCUCUCGCAUAUCAAUAAGCGGAGGAAAAGAAACUAACAAGGAUUCCCCUAGUAACGGCGAGUGAAGCGGGAAGAGCUCAAAUCUGAAAUCUUAAAGGGUUUCCCUUUACGAAUUGUAGUUUAAAGAAGUGUUUUCUGUUGAGGUUUUGGUAAUAAGUUCUUUGGAAUAGGACAUCAUAGAGGGUGAGAAUCCCGUAUUUGACCUUUACUUUCAACUUUGUGAUACACUUUCAAAGAGUCGGAUUGUUUGGGAAUGCAGUCCAAAAUGGGUGGUAAAUUUCAUCUAAAGCUAAAUAUUGGCGAGAGACCGAUAGCGAACAAGUACCGUGAGGGAAAGAUGAAAAGAACUUUGAAAAGAGAGUUAAACAGUACGUGAAAUUGUCAAAAGGGAAGCGUUUGACACCAGUGUUGUUUUUCUGAAAAUCAAUUAAAGAACUGUUUAUGCUAAGUUGUUUAGACUUUAUCAGCUAUCUGUUUAGUUUUGAGCUUUUCUUUAAUGCACUUUUCAGUUAACAAGUCAACAUCAAUUUCUUUUGCUGUAAAAAAGCUUGAGGAAGGUGGCUUGAGAUUCGUCUUAAGUGUUUAUAGCCUCUUGCCUAUGCAGUCGGAGAGAUUGAGGUCUGCAGCGUAGAUCCUUCGGGGCUAAAUGCAUUUGUGCUAAGUUAUAACAUUUCAUAGACAACUUGUUGACUAUGAUUUGUCUUGUAGCUUACUCGCUUAUGUUAUUUUACCUACGCUUAGGAUGUUGAAUCUGUGCGAGACUAC
Molecule: ribosomal RNA, 775 nt
Filed under: uncultured Neocallimastigales
Lineage: Eukaryota; Fungi; Neocallimastigomycota; Neocallimastigomycetes; Neocallimastigales
Description: partial large subunit ribosomal RNA
Rfam family: Eukaryotic large subunit ribosomal RNA
Source: RNAcentral